UCUCAAUACUAGAUCUUGACUGAGGAACCUCACAACAGGCUUGGACAGAGAAAUAUCAUCCCCUGAAAAGGGGCAACUGGAUGGAGCAAUCCAGGAGGUGUCUCCUUAGAGAGAGGAGUCAGAAGUCCUUGUGCACAGCAGACUGGAAGCCUCUGUGAAAGAAUAAGAAAACAGCCCAAAAAAGGAGCACAGGAUUGCUCUUCAAAAUAAAGUAAAGUAAGAUAAAAUAAAGUAAAGUAAAAUACUGAUUC
Molecule: long non-coding RNA, 251 nt
Organism: Gavialis gangeticus (Gharial)
Lineage: Eukaryota; Metazoa; Chordata; Crocodylia; Gavialidae
Exons: 2
Source: RefSeq, a predicted model, not a curated record